Molecule: transfer RNA, 77 nt
Filed under: Candidatus Syntrophonatronum acetioxidans
Lineage: Bacteria; Bacillati; Bacillota; Clostridia; Eubacteriales; Syntrophomonadaceae
Description: tRNA-Pro
Rfam family: tRNA
About the family: Transfer RNA (tRNA) molecules are approximately 80 nucleotides in length.
Source: RNAcentral
CGGGGCGUAGCGCAGUUUGGUAGCGCGCCUGCUUCGGGAGCAGGAGGUCGCAGGUUCAAAUCCUGUCGCUCCGACCA